AUUGAACGCUGGCGGCAUGCUUUACACAUGCAAGUCGAACGGUAACAGGCCGCGAGGUGCUGACGAGUGGCGGACGGGUGCGUAAUGCAUCGGAACGUGCCCCGUCGUGGGGGAUAACUACUCGCAAGAGUAACUAAUACCGCAUACGAUCUAUGGUUGAAAGCGGGGGACCGUAAAGCCUCGCGCGAUUGGAGCGGCCGCUGUCAGAUUAGGUAGUUGGUGGGGUAAAGGCUUACCAAGCCAACGAUUUGUAGCUGGCCUGAGAGGACGAUCAGCCACACUGGGACUGAGACACGGCCCAGACCCCUACGGGAGGCAGCAGUGGGGAAUCUUGGACAAUGGGCGCAAGCCUGACCGAGCAAUGCCGCGUGCAUGAAGAAGGCCUUCGGGUUGUAAACUUCUGUUGUACGGAACGAAACGGUGCUGGUUAAUAUCCGGAGCUAAUGACGGUACCUUAAGAAUAAGCACCGGCUAACUACGUG
This 482-nucleotide ribosomal RNA is filed under the name uncultured bacterium. RNAcentral's name for it is "partial 16S ribosomal RNA". It matches the Rfam family "Bacterial small subunit ribosomal RNA", at positions 30 to 507 of the family's 1533-position model. The record is from RNAcentral.